UGCCAACCAUCGAGACUCUCCAAACUUAUCCUAAAGAAACCUUAGAUUCACCCAUCGAAGGUCUUUGGAUCAGGUGCACCCCAACUAAGAUGAUAGCAACCUGCAUCGAAUGAUCUUCAGACAUCAACAUCGUAAGGUUCAGGGCAUCAUCCGAUGACCCCGAUUUCAUCUAAAAAUCCUUGAUGAGAUUCAAGGUGAAAGAAGUUAGCUUAGCACCGACGG
RNAcentral lists this long non-coding RNA (222 nucleotides) under Elaeis guineensis (African oil palm). RNAcentral's name for it is "long non-coding RNA (EGUI_LNC063032)". The record is from RNAcentral. Lineage: Eukaryota; Viridiplantae; Streptophyta; Magnoliopsida; Arecales; Arecaceae.